Molecule: ribosomal RNA, 479 nt
Filed under: uncultured bacterium
Lineage: Bacteria
Description: partial 16S ribosomal RNA
Rfam family: Bacterial small subunit ribosomal RNA
Source: RNAcentral
UGGGGAAUAUUGCACAAUGGGCGAAAGCCUGAUGCAGCAACGCCGCGUGAGUGAUGAAGGUCUUCGGAUUGUAAAGCUCUGUCUUUUGGGACGAUAAUGACGGUACCAAAGGAGGAAGCCACGGCUAACUACGUGCCAGCAGCCGCGGUAAUACGUAGGUGGCGAGCGUUGUCCGGAUUUACUGGGCGUAAAGGGUGCGUAGGCGGAUGUUUAAGUGAGAUGUGAAAUACCCGGGCUUAACUUGGGUGCUGCAUUUCAAACUGGAUAUCUAGAGUGCAGGAGAGGAGAAUGGAAUUCCUAGUGUAGCGGUGAAAUGCGUAGAGAUUAGGAAGAACACCAGUGGCGAAGGCGAUUCUCUGGACUGUAACUGACGCUGAGGCACGAAAGCGUGGGUAGCAAACAGGAUUAGAUACCCUGGUAGUCCACGCCGUAAACGAUGAGUACUAGGUGUAGGAGGUAUCGACCCCUUCUGUGCCGCA